This 164-nucleotide ribosomal RNA is filed under the name uncultured bacterium. RNAcentral describes it as "partial 16S rRNA". It matches the Rfam family "Bacterial small subunit ribosomal RNA", at positions 355 to 511 of the family's 1533-position model. The record is from RNAcentral.
UAGGGAAUCUUCGGCAAUGGGGGCAACCCUGACCGAGCAACGCCGCGUGAGUGAAGAAGGUUUUCGGAUCGUAAAGCUCUGUUGUUGGUGAAGAAGGAUAGAGGCAGUAACUGGUCUUUAUUUGACGGUAAUCAACCAGAAAGUCACGGCUAACUACGUGCCUG